This 93-nucleotide ribosomal RNA is filed under the name Silvania confinis. RNAcentral's name for it is "partial 23S ribosomal RNA". It matches the Rfam family "Bacterial large subunit ribosomal RNA", at positions 1 to 93 of the family's 2925-position model. The record is from RNAcentral. Lineage: Bacteria; Pseudomonadati; Pseudomonadota; Gammaproteobacteria; Enterobacterales; Enterobacteriaceae.
GGUUAAGCGACUAAGCGUACACGGUGGAUGCCUAGGCAGUCAGAGGCGAUGAAGGACGUGCUAAUCUGCGAUAAGCGUCGGUAAGGUGAUAUG